UUUCCGUAGGCGAACCUGCGGAAGGAUCAUUAUUGAAACUUCAUCCGGGGCGCCGCGGCCCUCAGCACCGGUGGAAACGCCGUGUUGCGGGGGCCGCGCGUGCACUCGUCCAAACCAAACCCCUGUGAACCUUUCGGGAUGGCCUGAGUUAGCGCCCGGUGCCGUUCCGCUUUAUACAAGCACUUAUCAAAGAAUGAACUGAAGGCGGUCUGACCGCUGGAUGACAAAACUGAAACAACUUUCAACAACGGAUCUCUUGGCUCUC
RNAcentral lists this unclassified non-coding RNA (265 nucleotides) under plant metagenome. RNAcentral's name for it is "partial contains small subunit ribosomal RNA, internal transcribed spacer 1, and 5.8S ribosomal RNA". The record is from RNAcentral.